This 252-nucleotide ribosomal RNA is filed under the name uncultured prokaryote. Its description in RNAcentral is "partial 16S rRNA". It matches the Rfam family "Archaeal small subunit ribosomal RNA", at positions 475 to 726 of the family's 1478-position model. The record is from RNAcentral.
ACCGGCAGCUCAAGUGGUGGCCAUUUUUAUUGGGCCUAAAGCGUUCGUAGCCGGCUUGAUAAGUCUCUGGUGAAAUCCCACAGCUUAACUGUGGGAAUUGCUGGAGAUACUAUCAGGCUUGAGGCCGGGAGAGGCUGGAGGUACUCCCAGGGUAGGGGUGAAAUUCGUUAAUCCUGGGAGGACCACCGGUGGCGAAGGCGACCAGCUGGAACUGUCCUGACGGUGAGUAACGAGAGCCUGGGGCGCGAACCG